This 267-nucleotide ribosomal RNA is filed under the name uncultured bacterium. RNAcentral's name for it is "partial 16S ribosomal RNA". It matches the Rfam family "Bacterial small subunit ribosomal RNA", at positions 28 to 286 of the family's 1533-position model. The record is from RNAcentral.
GACGAACGCUGGCGGCGUGCUUAAUACAUGCAAGUCGAGCGAGCCCAUCCAGUGGCAACACUGGGGAAGGCCGAGCGGCGAACGGGUGAGUAACCACGUGAGCAACCUGCCCCGAAGUCUGGAAUAACAUCGGGAAACCGGUGCUAAUACCGGAUUGCCCCACCUGACUGCAUGAUCGGGUGAGGAAAGAUCUAUCGCUUCGGGGAGGGGCUCGCGGGCCUAUCAGCAGUUGGCGGGGUAACGGCCCACCAAGGCGUCGACGGGUAG